AGUUAACUAGUUUCAUCUCCCUCUGGAGACAUUGUUAGAAGGUCAGAACUCAUCUGACGAUGUCUCCAGGAGGAGAUGAAACUAGUUAACU
This 91-nucleotide microRNA precursor is filed under the name Olea europaea subsp. europaea. Lineage: Eukaryota; Viridiplantae; Streptophyta; Magnoliopsida; Lamiales; Oleaceae. The record is from RNAcentral.